GGGAAAGUGGCUCAAUGGAAGAGUGCUUGCCUUGCAUGCAUGAGGCCCUGGGUUUGAUUCUUCAGCACUACCU
Non-coding RNA from Dipodomys ordii (Ord's kangaroo rat), 73 nucleotides. NCBI's taxonomy places the organism in Eukaryota, Metazoa, Chordata, Mammalia, Rodentia, Heteromyidae. The record is from Rfam.